Molecule: unclassified non-coding RNA, 244 nt
Filed under: uncultured fungus
Lineage: Eukaryota; Fungi
Description: partial contains 5.8S rRNA and ITS2
Rfam family: 5.8S ribosomal RNA (bases 1-52)
Source: RNAcentral
AACGCACAUUGCGCCCCCUGGUAUUCCGGGGGGCAUGCCUGUUCGAGUGUCAUUUCACCACUCAAGCCUCGCUUGGUAUUGGGCGACGCGGUCCGCGGCGCGCCUCAAAUCGACCGGCUGGGUCUUCUGUCCCCUCAGCGUUGUGGAAACUAUUCGCUAAAGGGUGCCACGGGAGGCCACGCCAAAAAACAAACCCAUUUCUAAGGUUGACCUCGGAUCAGGUAGGGAUACCCGCUGAACUUAA